UUAAGCUAAUAAGAGCGCAGGGUGGAUGCCUUGGCACUAAGAGCCGAAGAAAGACGUGAUAAGCUGCGAAAAGCUGCGGGGAGGAGCAAAUGUCCAUUGAUCCGCAGAUGUCUGAAUGGGGAAACCCGUCUGGAAGAACUCCAGUCACUGCAUGGUGAAUACAUAGGCAUGCAGGGGGAACCCGGUGAACUGAAACAUCUAAGUAGCCGGAGGAAAAGAAAGAAAAAUCGAUUUCCAAAGUAGCGGCGAGCGAAAUGGAAGGAGCCCAAACCGGGAUGCGUGCAUUCCGGGGUUAUGGACCGCAAGAAGUGACCCGUAAGAUAGAAGAAUGGCAUUGGGAAAGCCAGCCACAGAGGGUGAAAGCCCCGUAUUCGAAAUCAGAAGGGAGCGAGCGGAAUCCGAAGUACUACGAGACACGUGGAACCUUGUAGGAAAUCGGGGGGACCACCCCCCAAGGCUAAAUACUCCUUAGUGACCGAUAGCGCAUAGUACUGUGAAGGAACGGUGAAAAGAACCCCGGGAGGGGAGUGAAAGAGAACCUGAAACCCUGUGUUUACAAGCUGUGGAACAUCUUUAUAUGAUGAACCGCGUACUUUUUGUAGAACGGUCCGGCGAGUUACGCUGGCUGGCGAGGUUAAGGACUAAAGGUCCGGAGCCGAAGGGAAACCAAGUCUUAAUAGGGCGAGUUAAGUCAGUCAGAGUAGACCCGAAACCGGGUGAUCUACCCAUGUCCAGGAUGAAGUUGCCGUAAAAGGCAAUGGAGGUCCGAACACACAUCCGUUGAAAAGGGUGGUGAUGAGGUGUGGGUAGCGGAGAAAUUCCAAUCGAACCCGGAGAUAGCUGGUUCUCCUCGAAAUAGCUUUAGGGCUAGCCUCAAUUUAGUCUUGCGGAGGUAGAGCACUGAAUAUCCUAGGGGGCGUCAAAGCUUACCGAAGAUUAUCAAACUCCGAAUGCCGUAAAGAUGAUGAUUGGGAGUCAGACUGCACGAGAUAAGUUGGGUAGUCAAAAGGGAAACAGCCCAGACCUCCAGCUAAGGUCCCAAAGUGAGUGUUAAGUGGAAAAGGAUGUGGGAUUUCGAAGACAACUAGGAUGUUGGCUCAGAAGCAGCCAUUCAUUCAAAGAGUGCGUAAUAGCUCACUAGUCGAGAGGUCCUGCGCCGAAAAUGUCCGGGGCUAAACACUACACCGAAGCUGAGGAAUGACAAUGUCAUUGGUAGAGGAGCAUUCUUAACUGCGACGAAGCUGUACCGAAAGGAGCAGUGGAGUGUUAAGAAGAGAGAAUGCCGGAAUGAGUAGCGAGAGUGAGGUGAGAAUCCUCACGGCCGAAUAUCUAAGGUUUCCAGGGUAAAGCUGAUCUGCCCUGGGUAAGUCGGGACCUAAGGCGAGGUCGAAAGACGUAGUCGAUGGACAACAGGUUGAAAUUCCUGUACUGCAAUGUAUCAGAAAUGUGGGGACACAGACAGAGAGCCGGAGCCGGGAAUGGAGAAACCGGUGCAAGCGAGGUAGGAGAACAGCAGGCAAAUCCGCUGUUUAAUUUGAAGACGUGACGCGGAGCGAAAUUAAAGUAGCGAAGCCGGUGAGCUGGCUGUCAGGAAAAGCCGCUAUUGUGUACAUUGUACCCGUACCGUAAACCGACACAGGUGGAUGAGGAGAGAAUCCUAAGGCCGACGGAAGAAGCAUUGUUAAGGAACUCGGCAAAAUGGCCCCGUAACUUCGGGAUAAGGGGUGCCUACGAAGGUAGGCCGCAGAGAAUUGGCCCAAGCAACUGUUUAGCAAAAACACAGGUCUAUGCGAAACCGUAAGGUGAUGUAUAUGGGCUGACGCCUGCCCGGUGCUGGAAGGUUAAGGGGAGAGGUUAGACUUAAGUCGAAGCCUUGAACUUAAGCCCCAGUAAACGGCGGCCGUAACUAUAACGGUCCUAAGGUAGCGAAAUUCCUUGUCGGGUAAGUUC
RNAcentral lists this ribosomal RNA (1950 nucleotides) under human gut metagenome. RNAcentral's name for it is "bacterial LSU rRNA". It matches the Rfam family "Bacterial large subunit ribosomal RNA", at positions 3 to 1983 of the family's 2925-position model. The record is from RNAcentral.